This 360-nucleotide ribosomal RNA is filed under the name uncultured Comamonadaceae bacterium. RNAcentral's name for it is "bacterial SSU rRNA". It matches the Rfam family "Bacterial small subunit ribosomal RNA", at positions 1026 to 1382 of the family's 1533-position model. Lineage: Bacteria; Pseudomonadati; Pseudomonadota; Betaproteobacteria; Burkholderiales; Comamonadaceae. The record is from RNAcentral.
ACAGGGUGACAGGUGGUGCAUGGUUGUCGGUCAGCUCGUGUCGUGAGAUGUUGGGUUAAAGUCCCGCAACGAGCGCAACCCUUGUCAUUAGUUGCUACAUUUAGUUGGGCACUCUAAUGAGACUGCCGGGUGGACAAAACCCGGGAGGAAGGUGGGGAUGACGUCAAGUCCUCAUGGCCCUUAUAGUGGGGCUACACACGUCAUACAAUGGCCGGUACAAAGGGCUGCCAACCCGCGAGGGGGAGCCAAUCCCAUAAAACCGGUCGUAGUCCGGAUCGCAGUCUGCAACUCGACUGCGUGAAGUCGGAAUCGCUAGUAAUCGUGGAUCAGAAUGUCACGGUGAAUACGUUCCCGGGUCUU